CUAGAUUGACGGGUCCUUCUGAGUGCCUAGGUUGUCACUAGUAAUCUUCUAGUGUUGCAGGUACCUUGUGGCAUGAUUUGUGUGCAAUCUUGAUUGUGAUUGUUUAUGACUAUCAGUUGACUAGUCAUAAGUGUGCUUGGUCAAGUUCUAAAGUGUGUGAAGGUCAUUGUGUCCUGGUUGUGUCAUUUAAAUUACCCCUCGUCACCUGAGUACCAUUUUCACAUGUGAGUGGACAAAAACAAGAUUUGCAGUUAAAAACAAUAUAGUAACCCCACCGUGUAAAAAUAAAGCUCAAGACAUGCAGGUUCACAAUUCAAUAUUUAAUUACUCAAAACAUAAUUCAUUUAAAACUUUUCAAGACACAAGUCAUCUCAUUCGUAAACCCCAUUCUCUCAAUCUUACUACUCCUGCCAAACCACUGAAAAACUCUAAUUCUUCACUCACUCAACUAUACAUAUACAUAUAAAUAAAUAAAUAAAUAAAUAAAUAUAUAUAUAUAUAACUAUACAUAGCUAUACAAUAUACUCAUCACACUACCUAGGUACCGGGGAAACAAUCCAACUGGGGGAUUGUUUGACUAGUCCGCAGGAUUUCCAGGUGAUAUCCUGCGUUUAGGGAUGAGCGGUCCAACCGGGGGACGAAACUCUAAAGCUCACACACCGAAACAUCCAACGUCAUGUGUAGCUCCCAAACUAUGUCCUACGCGUGCAGACUAGAUCAUUACACACUGGAACAUCCAACCCCAUAGGUGAUGACCCUAAACACUAUACAGAGUCUUUCCACACGCCGGAACAUCCAACGCCGUUUAUGGAAAGUGUCUCACACGCCGGAACAUCCAACACCGCGAGUGAGACGAAUAAUCUAUUCUUCCCACACUCCGGAACAUCCAAC
This 891-nucleotide long non-coding RNA is filed under the name Prunus persica (peach). RNAcentral's name for it is "long non-coding RNA (PPER_LNC007829)". The record is from RNAcentral. Lineage: Eukaryota; Viridiplantae; Streptophyta; Magnoliopsida; Rosales; Rosaceae.